AUGCUUAAAACUUAUCUUGCUAAAGCUUUUGAUCGCAUAGAAUGGAAUUUCUUUGUCUCUUCUCUUGCUCGUAGAGGGUUGCAUGCUCAUUUCUUUAAUUUGAUCCAUGCUUGCAUUUCUUCUCCUACUUUCUCUGUCAUCAUCAAUGGCCAGCCUUCGGAUAAAUUCACAAGUCAUAGGGGGAUUCGACAAGGUUGCCCUUUGUCUCCUUAUAUUUUUGUGCUUGACAUAAAUGAAUUGUCUCUUGCUCUUAAUGAGGUCAUGUUAGCUAAUCAUCUUCAUGGUAUUAUUCUUGGACCAAAUUUUCCUCCUAUCCACUCUCUUCCCUUUGCAGAUGAUGUUCUCAUUUGUGGACAAACCACUUUGCAAGAAGCAACAUCCAUUGCCAAUAAUCCAAAAUUGUGUUGUUUCACGUCAAACUCCAAACUGGUCCAGAUCUGCAAUUCUAUUCAUUACCCAUAUCAAUGA
RNAcentral lists this ribosomal RNA (468 nucleotides) under Triticum aestivum (bread wheat). Its description in RNAcentral is "partial small subunit ribosomal RNA". Lineage: Eukaryota; Viridiplantae; Streptophyta; Magnoliopsida; Poales; Poaceae. The record is from RNAcentral.